ACCAAACCCAGUGCUCUAAAGUGGUCUAUACUGACGAAACAUCACAUAACAAUGCCAAUUCUUACUACUAGUCCAAGCUCUAAGGUGAGCAUGAAAUGCAAUUUUGCAGCUGUAGAUGAGGGGGCGAGGGGUAAGAGAGAGAGAUUGGA
This is a long non-coding RNA of Rhodamnia argentea, 149 nucleotides long. RefSeq lists it as uncharacterized. The record is from RefSeq and is a predicted model, not a curated record. Lineage: Eukaryota; Viridiplantae; Streptophyta; Magnoliopsida; Myrtales; Myrtaceae. The transcript has 3 exons.